This 513-nucleotide ribosomal RNA is filed under the name uncultured bacterium. Its description in RNAcentral is "partial 16S ribosomal RNA". It matches the Rfam family "Bacterial small subunit ribosomal RNA", at positions 28 to 523 of the family's 1533-position model. The record is from RNAcentral.
GACGAACGCUGGCGGCAUGCCUAAUACAUGCAAGUCGAGCGAACAGAUGAAGUGCUUGCACUUCUGACGUUAGCGGCGAACGGGUGAGUAACACGUAAGGAAUCUACCUAUAAGCGGGGGAUAACAUUCGGAAACGGGUGCUAAUACCGCAUAAUAUCUUCUUCCGCAUGGAAGAAGAUUGAAAGACGGCUCUGCUGUCACUUAUAGAUGACCUUGCGGUGCAUUAGUUAGUUGGUGGGGUAACGGCCUGCCAAGACGAUGAUGCAUAGCCGACCUGAGAGGGUGAUCGGCCACAUUGGGACUGAGACACGGCCCAAACUCCUACGGGAGGCAGCAGUAGGGAAUCUUCCGCAAUGGGCGAAAGCCUGACGGAGCAAUGCCGCGUGAGUGAAGAAGGCCUUCGGGUCGUAAAACUCUGUUAUAAGAGAAGAACAAAUUGUAGAGUAACUGCUACAGUCUUGACGGUAACUUAUCAGAAAGCCACGGCUAACUACGUGCCAGCCGCCGCGGUAA